Molecule: ribosomal RNA, 559 nt
Filed under: uncultured Glomus
Lineage: Eukaryota; Fungi; Glomeromycota; Glomeromycetes; Glomerales; Glomeraceae
Description: SSU rRNA
Rfam family: Eukaryotic small subunit ribosomal RNA
Source: RNAcentral
AAUUGGAGGGCAAGUCUGGUGCCAGCAGCCGCGGUAAUUCCAGCUCCAAUAGCGUAUAUUAAAGUUGUUGCAGUUAAAAAGCUCGUAGUUGAAUUUCGGGAUCAGCAGGUCGGUCGUGCCACUGGUAUGCACUGGCCUUGCUGAUUCCUCCCUCUUGAUGAGCCGUAAUGCCAUUAAUUUGGUGUUGCGGGGAAUCAGGACUGUUACUUUGAAAAAAUUAGAGUGUUUAAAGCAGGCAUGCGCUUGAAUACAUUAGCAUGGAAUAAUGAAAUAGGACGUUCGAUCCUAUUUUGUUGGUUUCUAGGAUUGACGUAAUGAUUAAUAGGGAUAGUUGGGGGCAUUAGUAUUCAAUUGUCAGAGGUGAAAUUCUUGGAUUUAUUGAAGACUAACUACUGCGAAAGCAUUUGCCAAGGAUGUUUUCAUUAAUCAAGAACGAAAGUUAGGGGAUCGAAGACGAUCAGAUACCGUCGUAGUCUUAACCAUAAACUAUGCCGACUAGGGAUCGGAUGAUGUUAAUUUUUUAAUGACUCAUUCGGCGCCUUACGGGAAACCAAAGUGU